GACGAACGCUGGCGGCGUGCUUAACACAUGCAAGUCGAACGGAAAGGCCCUGCUUUUGUGGGUUGCUCGAGUGGCGAACGGGUGAGUAACACGUGAGUAACCUGCCCUUGACUUUGGGAUAACUUCAGGAAACUGGGGCUAAUACCGGAUAGGAGCUCCUGCUGCAUGGUGGGGGUUGGAAAGUUUCGGCGGUUGGGGAUGGACUCGCGGCUUAUCAGCUUGUUGGUGGGGUAGUGGCUUACCAAGGCUUUGACGGGUAGCCGGCCUGAGAGGGUGACCGGCCACAAUGGGACUGAGAGACGGCCCAGACUCCUACGGGAGGCAGCAGUGGGGAGUAUUGCACAAUGGGCGGGAGCCUGAUGCAGCAACGCCGCGUGCGGGAUGACGGCCUUCGGGUUGUAAACCGCUUUGGCCUGUGACGAAGCGUGAGUGACGGUAAUGGGUAAAGAAGCACCGGCUAACUACGUG
RNAcentral lists this ribosomal RNA (468 nucleotides) under uncultured bacterium. RNAcentral's name for it is "partial 16S ribosomal RNA". It matches the Rfam family "Bacterial small subunit ribosomal RNA", at positions 28 to 507 of the family's 1533-position model. The record is from RNAcentral.